Molecule: microRNA precursor, 93 nt
Filed under: Calypte anna (Anna's hummingbird)
Lineage: Eukaryota; Metazoa; Chordata; Aves; Apodiformes; Trochilidae
Description: mir-1388 microRNA precursor family
Rfam family: mir-1388 microRNA precursor family
Source: Rfam by way of RNAcentral
ACGCGAGGGGCACCUCGGGGGCUGUCUGACCUGAGAAUGGUGACACCUGAGGGUCAAUCUCAGGUCCGUCACCCCGUGGGAUGCUCUCUCCAG